Molecule: ribosomal RNA, 274 nt
Filed under: uncultured bacterium
Lineage: Bacteria
Description: partial 16S ribosomal RNA
Rfam family: Bacterial small subunit ribosomal RNA
Source: RNAcentral
AUACGGAGGGUCCAAGCGUUAUCCGGAAUCAUUGGGUUUAAAGGGUCCGUAGGCGGACUAUUAAGUCAGAGGUGAAAUCCCACAGCUCAACUGUGGAACUGCCUUUGAUACUGGUAGUCUUGAGUUAUAUGGAAGUAGAUAGAAUGUGUAGUGUAGCGGUGAAAUGCAUAGAUAUUACACAGAAUACCGAUUGCGAAGGCAGUCUACUACGUAUAUACUGACGCUAAGGGACGAAAGCGUGGGGAGCGAACAGGAUUAGAAACCCUAGUAGUCC